Molecule: ribosomal RNA, 253 nt
Filed under: uncultured bacterium
Lineage: Bacteria
Also listed under: 2 other names
Description: partial 16S ribosomal RNA
Rfam family: Bacterial small subunit ribosomal RNA
Source: RNAcentral
GACGAACCGUGCGAACGUUGUUCGGAAUCACUGGGCAUAAAGGGCGCGUAGGCGGCUUUUCAAGUCAGGGGUGAAAUCCGGCAGCUCAACUGUCGAAGUGCCCUUGAUACUGAUGAGCUCGAGGGAGGUAGGGGUAUGUGGAACUUCCGGUGGAGCGGUGAAAUGCGUUGAUAUCGGAAGGAACGCCGGUGGCGAAAGCGACGUACUGGACCUCUUCUGACGCUGAGGCGCGAAAGCUAGGGGAGCAAACGGG